UUUGUGCUUGGCAUGUUAAGCUCUAGGAACCUGGGUGCCUCAGCUGGCACUACUAUUCCCAGCAGGAAACCUUCAGGGAGAUGAACAGCAUGUAUUUGGACAUCUGAGACAAAUGAAAUAUGAUUAUAUGAAUUAAUUGUGGCUGUGAAGUUUUUCAAGUUCUUCACGUUUUUCAUGAACAUACAGAUUUGGUUGUUGACAGUGGCACAAUGUUUCAUUUGAAUUGCUGAGGAUGGAAGAGUUUCUGACUUUGCAAGGCACCCCAAGACACAGCUGAAUCCCAGUUCUAUUUGAAGCUGGUGGCUGGGUUCUUAUGGAUUUCACUGUCAUCAGGAUUCCAUCUGCCGGUUUGCUGGACCUGGCACAGCAAUUCUCCAGCACUGACGCUAGUGGCAAUUCAUGACAGUUCAUGAAGACCUACUUUCAGCUUUGGGAUAUGCAGUGCCAUCCAAACUGGGUUGGAACUAGAUGAUCUUUAAGGUCCUUUCCAACCAACUCAUUCUGUGAUUCUGUGAUAAUAUCAUCUGUGCAAUCUCAGAGCCAUGGAAGUACAAAAAGGAAUUCAGACAGCAUGUUGGAUCCCCAGUGCUCCCAAAAUUACAGAGGUACAUAAUUGCACAGCUUUUUGAUACUGGAAGACCAACUACUUUUCUUCAGUGCACGUUAGCACUAAUCAGUUGUCUAGAUCUGGACCAAUCUAUAGAAGUGAAAUUACAGAGACAUUAAGAAGGUAAAUCAUGUUUAUUACACCAGUGCCUAAGGCUGAGAAAGUACAAGGCUCUCCCCAGAAGACACUGUACUCCCUGCUCCAAAAAAAGCUCAGAGCUGGAGAAAAGCAGCUGAAUGUGUUUGUAAAGUGCAGGUUGCAAUUUGAGAGCAAGCACGUAGGCUAUGCAGUACCUUGGUCAUGUAAGAGUCAGUUUGAGAACAAAAACAGAAAGAAGAGAGAAAUGAGAAGAGACACUGAAAAGAGGAUUGUUGGAGUAACAGUCCCAGGAGUGGAAUGAAGCUGAUGUAAGAGAUUCUGAGCACAGGGGCUGGAACAACCAACCAGUGAACAUGGGUGACUGUUGAGCCAGCACUGCAGAGUGGGGAUGGCUGUCACUCCUGCCUUGGCAGCUGCUUUCAUGGCUUGCUUCUUCCCCAUCUGAGACCUGGUUCCCCAAGAAAUGGGGAUUGCUCUCAGUAUAGGUGUGAGCCAGAGCAUCUAGAGUUAAUUUCUUUUUUCUGAACUUCCUUUUAAAGCAGAUUUAAGGAGUAAAACAGACAGAGUACACAGAGGGACAUUUGCAAUAUUAUGUUGAAAAUAUUGCCCCAGAUCUCAAGUUUAGGAACUAAAGAUCCUGUUCUGGCACCUGAUCAGCUGAGUAGGAGAUGUUCCAGAACAAAAUUAUCAAGAAAAGGCUGAUGCAGGUUGUGUGACAUAUUUUCUUGUCUACAUGGGAAGUCCAGGAUGUAUUUUAGGUGAUGCAUUUUGUGUCAUUUAAGUAACUGAUACUGUAGCUAUGUUUGCCCUGCCAGAGGAUUUCUAAACUCUUUGUACCAACUAACUUUAGUUGAGAUACAAUACAAUGGACUUACUCCUUUUUCUGCAUUUUCCCAAAUUCAGAUUUCACCCUUUAUCUUAACUGAGGCAGCAGCAGCACCAUGUAUUUUCCAUUACCUCCUCCCCUGCUUCUAAUAAAAAUUCAACUAUGGGUCAAAUCCUUGGCUGGAAAGAGCCUAUACAGACCAGGAUCUGCUGUGUAUAAAAAAGUUAC
Molecule: long non-coding RNA, 1760 nt
Organism: Corvus hawaiiensis (hawaiian crow)
Lineage: Eukaryota; Metazoa; Chordata; Aves; Passeriformes; Corvidae
Exons: 3
Source: RefSeq, a predicted model, not a curated record